RNAcentral lists this long non-coding RNA (527 nucleotides) under Zea mays. RNAcentral describes it as "long non-coding RNA NONZMAT003231". The record is from RNAcentral. Lineage: Eukaryota; Viridiplantae; Streptophyta; Magnoliopsida; Poales; Poaceae.
CCGCGACGGACUCCAACAAAAGCAUGGAGGAAUCAAAAACAAACCCACUAUAAUCGAUUUAUCCUUGUGUGGACCCUUUCACGGCUAGAGUACAUAUACCGGCCCCUAGAGACCUCUCUCCCCUCAUCUAUCACGAGCACAUCUAUCACGAGCAAGCAUCGAAGGACUACGUGCCGCCGUAAACCGCGGCAAGAAUAGUCACCCACUGUCGAAACCUACGCCGUCCACCAGGAACCUACACGCGGUGAUGUCGCAUGCGAUGACUACUCGGAGCCGUGGGGAUUCCUCACCGUUAUCGGACCCUUGCCGCCACGCCGCCUCAGAUUUCCGGUAAGAUGGUUUAUGCGGUGUUCUCCAUCUACUCACCUCUCUGUUGCAUGUUUCCACUCUUGGUAUUAUUGAACGGAACACGGGAUUGAUUGCACGCCGGCGUCGCGCCGCCGUGGGGUGGUUGGGUGCUGGCGCGGGGGAGGGAGAAGACCUCUGCAUUGUUCAUCUGCUGAUGGACGGUCACGAUUAGAACGAAG